GAUGAACGCUGGCGGCGUGCCUAAUACAUGCAAGUCGAGCGAACAGACGAGGAGCUUGCUCCUCUGACGUUAGCGGCGGACGGGUGUGAAACACGUGGAUAACCUACCUAACAGACGGGGAUAACUUGGGGACACCGGAUCUAAUACCGGAUAAUAUAUUGAACCGCAUGGUGCAAUGGUGAAAGACGGCUUUGGUGUCAGUAAUAGCUGGUUCUGCGCCGCAUUGGCUGGUUGGUAAGGUAACGGCCUAGCACGGGAACGAUGCGUAGCCGACCUGUGAGGGUGGUCGCCCACACUGGAACGUGGCCGCGGUCCAGGCUCCUACGGGAGGCAGCAGUAGGGAACGUUCCGCAAUGGUCGAAAGCCUGACGGAGCAACGCCGCGUGAGUUAUGACGGUCUUCGGAUCGUAAAGCUCUGUUAUUGGGUAAGAACAAAUUUGUAAGUAACUAUGCACGUCGUGACGGUACCUAAUCAGAAAGCCCCGGCUAACUACGUG
This 497-nucleotide ribosomal RNA is filed under the name uncultured bacterium. Its description in RNAcentral is "partial 16S ribosomal RNA". It matches the Rfam family "Bacterial small subunit ribosomal RNA", at positions 28 to 507 of the family's 1533-position model. The record is from RNAcentral.